CAGGAUAGGCAGGGAGAGUAGGGGCCUCCCGCUCCGCAAAUCCCCUUUGGCGGUGCCGAAUGUCCGGUGAAGUUAUUGGCGGGGCAGUAGGGCUUUGGCCUUAAGCGUCGAUGCUUUGCCUUCCCGGACGGUUCAUCGUGCCAAACGGGUCAGGCCGGAAGGAGCAGCCCUACGCAUUAUGCACCGUGCUGGAAAGUACCAAAGCGGAGCAGCGGUCAGAACCACCUUAUUGUUCUUCCAGUGGCCCGCCGGAAAUCCUG
This 260-nucleotide unclassified non-coding RNA is filed under the name uncultured archaeon. RNAcentral describes it as "Bacteria_large_SRP". It matches the Rfam family "Bacterial large signal recognition particle RNA". Rfam says of the family: The signal recognition particle (SRP) is a universally conserved ribonucleoprotein involved in the co-translational targeting of proteins to membranes. Archaeal SRP consists of a 7S RNA and homologues of the eukaryotic SRP19 and SRP54 proteins. In most bacteria, the SRP consists of a 4.5S RNA and the Ffh protein (a homologue of the eukaryotic SRP54 protein). The record is from RNAcentral.